RNAcentral lists this ribosomal RNA (433 nucleotides) under uncultured bacterium. RNAcentral's name for it is "partial 16S ribosomal RNA". It matches the Rfam family "Bacterial small subunit ribosomal RNA", at positions 37 to 507 of the family's 1533-position model. The record is from RNAcentral.
GGGGGGGGGUGGGGGCGGGCCUGGGGCGUGCGGGUCGAGCGGGUCCUUCGGGGGUGGUGGCGGACGGGUGGGUAACCCGUGGGGACGGGACCUUUGGUUCGGGCCAACUCGGGGCAACUUGAGCUAAUACCGGAUGUGCCGUUCGGUGGAGAGCUUUAUCGCCAUUGGAGCUGCCCGCGUCUGAUUAGCUAGUUGGUGAGGUAACGGCCCACCAAUGCGACGAUCAGUCGCCGGUCUGAGAGGAGGAUCAGCCACACUGGGACUGAGACACGGCCCAGAAUCCUACGGGAGGCAGCAGUGGGGACUCUUGCGCAAUGGGCGAAAGCCUGACGCAGCCAUGCCGCGUGGAUGAUGAAGGUCUUAGGAUUGUAAAAUUCUUUCAGCGGGGACGAUAAUGACGGUACCCGCAGAAGAAGCCCCGGCUAACUUCGUG